This is an RNA transcript of Alosa sapidissima (American shad), 387 nucleotides long. It is a transcript of the gene named oligosaccharyltransferase complex subunit 4 (non-catalytic), with no coding region annotated. Lineage: Eukaryota; Metazoa; Chordata; Actinopteri; Clupeiformes; Clupeidae. The transcript is spliced from 3 exons. The record is from RefSeq and is a predicted model, not a curated record.
CAUGCACGUCCUGACGGACUUUUAAUUUGAAAGAAGUUUAACUAAUGACGUGGCUUUAACCCGAAAGCGGAAGACGAUUGGGAAGCGUCAACAGCCUUCAUUCUACCGGCCUCCCAAAUCACAGAUCUACGUUAACCAUGGUUACUGACGUUCAACUGGCAAUAUUUGCCAACAUGCUCGGCGUGUCGCUGUUCCUGCUUGUGGUGCUGUACCAUUAUGUGGCUGUCAACAAUCCCAAGAAAUUAGAAUAACCCCCUCCGCGUCUAAGUGUUAAGAUUGAUUAUGGGACCACCACAGGAGUAACAUCACUACACAUGACAGCGAGACGAAAUCACCAUGUUUAAAUGUUUUCUACGAAAAUGUUGUGAAUAAACCUUUUUCAUGAUA